CCUACGGGAGGCAGCAGUGAGGAAUAUUGGUCAAUGGACGAGAGUCUGAACCAGCCAAGUAGCGUGAAGGAUGACUGCCCUAUGGGUUGUAAACUUCUUUUAUAUGGGAAUAAUAUGUUCCACGUGUGGGAUUUUGUAUGUACCAUAUGAAUAAGGAUCGGCUAACUCCCUGCCAGCAGCCGCGGUAAUACGGAGGAUCCGAGCGUUUUCCGGAUUUUUUGGGUUUAAAGGGGGCGUAGGUGGAUUGUUAAGUCAGGUGGGAAAGUUUGCGGCUCAACCGUAAAAUUGCAGUUGAAACUGGCAGUCUGGAGUACAGUAGAGGUGGGCGGAAUGCGUGGUGUAGCGGUGAAAUGCUUAGAUAUCACGAAGAACUCCGAUUGCGAAGGCAGCUCACUGGACUGCAACUGACACUGAGGCUCGAAAGUGUGGGUAUCAAACAGGAUUAGAUACCCCUGUAGUC
RNAcentral lists this ribosomal RNA (460 nucleotides) under uncultured bacterium. Its description in RNAcentral is "partial 16S ribosomal RNA". It matches the Rfam family "Bacterial small subunit ribosomal RNA", at positions 338 to 795 of the family's 1533-position model. The record is from RNAcentral.